CUACUGCAUUGUUUCUGCACGAAGUCCUGAAUCUACAGGCUCAAAGCAGCCUCCCAGCACUGCCAGCUCACCUCCUCGGCCAGCUCACUUGCAGAGCCUGCGCUAAGCUGGGCAUCUAAAAACCAUUACUCAGGCCUCCAAAAGUUAUGAAACUGUCCUGAAAAGAAUUUCCAGUGAGCAUGUCCUUGCAAGCAAUUCAGUGGAAAACUGGAAGUCAAUAAAGCCCUUACAGUUUUACAGCACUCAGUUAUCCACCUGGCUGAGGAACACUAUGUAUUAUGAAAGAUUUGGCACGGAAGAGGAAUUACACAUGAAAGCUUUGGCUUUGGUAUCAUUCAGACCCUGCCACUCCCUGUUUGCUCUUGAAUGACCAAAAAAGAGAAGGUGACUCAGGCCCUGGGUGGUGGGUAUUUCUGUCUAUCAAAAAUAUCAUCUUAGUCUAUAUAAAGUGUGGCCCAUAAAUGCAUAUACAAAGGAGAAAGAAGGAGGAGGACACAAAGAAGUUGUUAAAUUAUCAGAAUAUCCUGCAUUCAUGUAACCCCAUCUGGAAAACCACAUCUGGUUCUGUUCUCCACAACUCAAGAAGUGGGCAGACCGAAGAAAAUUCUGAAAAGAACUAUGAGAAUGAUUAAAGACCUAAAUAAUAUGCUUCACAGUGGAAGAACUCAGUCCUUCUAGCCUAGCAGAGGGAGAUGAUGAAUGUUUGUAGUCUCUAUUGCUAAGAAGUAUGAAUGCACACUCACAGACAAAGCUAUAAUGAGAUCCAGUGGUUAAGAGCUGAAUCUAGACAAAUUCAAGCUAUAAAACAAGACACACAUUUUUAACAGUAAGGGUAAUUAACCAACACAGCAACCCAGUGAGGUGCUAGGGCAAAUUCUCCUUCUUUGGAAUUUUUUAAAUCAAAAUCAGAUGCUUUUUAUUUUACUUUAUUUUAUUUUUUUAAAAAAGACUUUCUAUUUCAAGCAGGAAGAAGCCUGAUGCUGUGUGUCAAACAGGAAGGAGGGCUAGAGCAUCACAGUAGCCCAUCUGGCAUUACGAACCACAAUUUGGAAUUAUUCCUUUGUAAUGAACAAUAUUCUCUGGGAAGAAGUGGAAGGAAGAUUUGCCAUUGGAAUUAGAAGUUAUGUUGCUGGAAGACUGACAGUGAAAAGGUGAAGCAAAGCACUAUUUAUAGGCAGAGACGCUAUCUUUCAUUCAAUCCACUGAUACAGUUUGAUCAACUUUCACUAGCUUGCCUGGAGUUUCUUCCAGCUACAUGCAUUCACCUAAUAAAAUAUUUUAUCUCCUGACAAACCCAGCUUCACUUAUCAUGGAAAAUGAUUGAAGGUCUAGUCACAAGAUUGUCAGUAUGAAAUUCAAAGGGAGAGAGAAGCAGAUUUACAGUGAAGAUGAGAAGCAGCUGUAAGACAUGGAAAGGAAAAAUGGAUGAAUCUGUGUUUAUGUGAAGAAUCCAGUGGCAUAUUUAUAUACCUACUGAUUAGGUACACAGUCAAAAGCCAGAAAUUCUUGGUUUCUACAUUGCAAAGGUGCUGAGCUCCUGAGCAUGCAUGGAAUUUGGCACAAAAUGUAGAAAAGUGAUAAUGGCUCAUUUGCUUCAUCUUCCUUUCAAUCAGGGAUAUCCAUUUCAUUUAUAUAUAUAUAUAAAAAAAAAAAAAAAAAAAGGCAAAAAAAAAAAAGCUCUAACCUCUGAAGACCUUGUGCCCCUUUUCUUUCCCUCAUAUGCAUUUUACAGCAUCACAGGGGGCCUGGCAUAUCAGCUGGAACAUCUGCUCCCCCUCUCGGUCAAGGAAUUGAAAUCCUACGUAUCCUCAGACGCAGUGGUUUCAAACCAUCUGGGCAUGACAAAGUGUUAGCUGCGUGCACAACAACGGGAUAAAUAAUUUACAGAAAGACAAGUACAGAUGGCUACAUAUAACAUAAAGCACAUCCUAUUUUUUCGAGGCAAUCCUUUCCCAUACCUGCAUUAUAUUGUGCAAAACUCCCAACUCUUCAGAACCAAGAUAUCACAUCUUAAAAUUACUGCAGUUGUAAACCAUCAGUAACAAGCUUGAUUUUGCAGGAAUGUUCAGUUGCAGGACCAGGAUACCUUGAGCUGCCUUCCGGCCCCUAAAGAGACCUGAGAUGGAGCAGGAAAACUGAGUGUUGAGCAUCCAGAGUGCUGUAAGCUUGUUUCUGAUGCCAGUAAUCCUUCAAGUCCCUCAUAGAAACAGUUUUACUGUGCCAGACAGUCAAGUGAGCAUGAAAACCCAAUCGACUGACAGACAGUGAAGAUUAUGUACCAAGAGGAUUAUAAUGAAAUACCUAGUUAUUAAGUGCACUGCAGCAUUCUGAAUCACUUACAUUUAUUAUAUAAAAUACAUGCUCCUUAUGUGGAGAGCCCGACUGCUAAAAUACAGUAAUAUGGGAUAGAAAAUAAGACAGCUGAAGAGAAAUAGGUCUUCAUCUUGAAACAGAGUAAGCAGUUUUAUGUGGAUCAAAGAUGUGCACAAAUAUAUUAAAGGCAUAAUAUUCAAAAUGAGUCCACUGUUGCCAAAGUUUAUUUCUAGAAGCUACCCUACUGAUAGAGACGGAUGAUAUACAUAUAAAUGUUUAUACAUAUAUAUAAGGAUCAGUACUUGAGGGAGUUAAAGGUUUGGGCUCUCAAUAGCCAACCCGUUAAGCAAUAAGGAGGGAUAUAAACAAGUCAUCCUCUGACUAGAGCAAAGCCUGAUUUCACAAAAAAUACUCAAAAUAAACAAAAAUGCGUACAAAAAGCAUAAUGACAUGAGCUUCAGAUUCUUGGAAUUCUAAAUAAAAUGCUAGCAAAUGUCAUGCUCAUUCAAAGCUUAACGCACACAUCUUCACCAUACAUGCAAAAAGUAUCUCAUUUCCAGUUGGUU
This is a long non-coding RNA of Oxyura jamaicensis (ruddy duck), 2879 nucleotides long. RefSeq lists it as uncharacterized. The transcript is spliced from 3 exons. NCBI's taxonomy places the organism in Eukaryota, Metazoa, Chordata, Aves, Anseriformes, Anatidae. The record is from RefSeq and is a predicted model, not a curated record.